GUCAAGAUAGUGGCCAAAGAGGAAGUUAUAAAGCAGACUAGGAAAUUCUCCUAAAUAUAUCUCCAACAGAGUAAACAAGAGAUUAGGAAACUCGUCCUUCAUUCAAUUACACCUGGCAGGUGAAUGGGAGUGGAGCAGUAAGAGAUGCUGCUUCCAGUAGUUUUCUGCCUCUCAAUCCUUGCUAUUCAAAGUAUGGUCCACAGUCCAGCAGCUUUGGCAUCACCUGGGAACUUGAUGGAAAUGCAGAGAAGUUCAAAUUCCCACCACCGAUAUACUGAAUUAGAAACAUCUGCCCUUCAAGAAGAUCCACUGGUGAUAAUAUGCAUAUUAAAGUUUGAGUAGCACCGCCAUUCUAUAUCAGCUUGCAAAAUGAAAGCAAGAAGAAACAAAACAAAGCAUUAGCCAGUUUGGAUUUUCUGAAGUGCACUAAAUGUCAAACUCAAGAAAAGGUAGUAGAAAAUAAAUUUCUCUUCAACCAAGUCAUUAGUGUGGAAUCAUCUACUCUGUUUUGAGGUAACACCAGCCAAUACCAGCCACAUUUUCGAAAUCAUCACUUUCUGAUGAAAUAAACUGACUUGCAUAAUUUAAUAAAUUUUGGUGAAUAACGAGACUUACUCUCAGAUACCAACAUUUCCUAGCUUGCAAGACAAUAGUUAUAGAAGGAAACUAAUAGACAUGGUUUAAAACACCUUCUAAUGCAAAGUAGAAGAUUUACAAUGCUGCUUCAUUGUCAGGAUCCAGUGUCCUCCUUUUAUCCAACAAAAUCUAAAGAAUUAUCUCAUUGGAAUUUUCAGCUUCAGUGAAAAUUCUGUGAUGAUCUCAAAUGUUGCUGCAGAAAAUGUAUAAUUAAUGGAGUGAAGUGGUUUGUAAAGAAACAUUUUAUUAGAACAAGUGAGGGUAAAUGAACUAAUAGAGUUCAAUUCUAUGCUUCAGUUUCAAAUAUAAUAUGCAAAUAUCUACUCUGCAAAACCGUAUAAAACGACUUUCUGAACUAUUAUUCUAGGUUUAAUACAGUGAUUAGACUGGAUCAUCAUUUCUGCAUUGUCAGAAACUGUGCUAUUUUGCAGUAUCUAAUUGUUGUUUUAUUUCCUUUUUGAUUAUUUUAUUCACUGUUUUAUUAUUUUGGCUUUAACAUCAGACACAUUCUUUGAUAUUAAAAUUGCAUUUGAUUAGCUUUUAACUUUCUCAGACAUUAAUACACGAUGAUGGGUUUUAAGUCAAUGAAUGUAUUCUUCUAUGUUAUGGCCUGUUUCAUUGUUCUAAUUCGAGUGUCAAAAUUGCUAUUUAUUUGAUGACUGUCAUUAUCAAAUAUUUCAGAAUGUGAGUUGCCAUUAUUCAAAGGAAUAAGUCAACAGACAUUUACAUAACAUGUAAUAGUAAAACGAAAUUAUUCAUAUUAUAACGUUUCAUAAUGUUUGGCUUAGAAGACUUGCUACAGAUGUUAUAGACAAACAAAAUUUGUAUGGUUAACGAAACAGGAACCUGGUUUCAGAUAGGUGACAUGACAUUUUCAAAGUCUCACAGCAAUUUUGAAUGAGCUAAUCCUCAACGAUUGGUCAAUUUCUUUAGUCUUUUUUUUUUUUAACACUGAAAUCAACCAUGCUAUUUCUAGCCCCCAUUUUUUAAACUUGGAUAAUCAAAAUGAGUUUAAUAAAACAUCAUCAACCAAAUAUCACAUUAUGCAUAGUAACACGUAUCUUGAAGGUUAUAGUAAAUGGAAAGAUGAAUCUGGAAAGCUAAGAGAAUUAGAGGUCAUGGCUCGAUGUAAAAUCACCAUGGAAACAGCUUUCAUGGCCAAUUUGUGGGGAGAUGUCAAAAGGCAGUAACCUGUGACUUAUUUUUUUCCAAAGCCCUUUCUAUGAAGGUUACAGGCUCUAUAUCUGCUUUCAUGAUGACAUUUGUCUAUGUUUUUGUAGGAUUCUAUUCUGACAAGCACAAAACCCUGCACCAAGUUGAACCUGUCCUUUGUGAUGAGGCUGUUGAACAGAAGAGCAGCAUAGCAGUCUGUCUAUUCUUGCUCCACAUUCAGCUAAAUGCCAACUCCGAUCCCUUUGAGAUGGUGAACAGGCUGAACCUAGGGAUCGUGUCAUCCCUCAGUAUCCAGACUUCUUCAGAGAACCAUGUGGUGAAACUUCUUGAUUAAGGUCGCAAAAGGAGAGACAACUAUACAUUUUGUGAUGCCGAAGAGAAAUGUACAAGAGCACUACUGAAGAAGUCCAGCCAAAAAAGAAGCCCAGUAGUAUUCUUAUCAAGCCUGUAUAUCCAGUUUAUAGGAAAUAUAAGAGACAGAGACACAUGUUAAAUGACAACAGUAGAAUGUAAUGCACAAAAUCCAGACUUGAAAAUGUUAUAAAAUAUGCAAAAAAGAUUUCUUAAGAAUAAUAUUAGAAGAAAAAUGAGUUUGUGGGAGAACUUAUAGAGUCUUUAAAAAAUAUAUUAAUUACAGUGUAUGAACUCACUUUGUUUCAUGAUUCAAACAAGCUGGUUAAAAGUUUAAGAGAAAAUUCCAUCAUGAUAUUGACGUGAGAAUUAAAGUGUUUGUUAAAAAAUGAAAUAUACUUGGGAGGCUGAGUCCAAGAAUCCC
This is a long non-coding RNA of Gorilla gorilla gorilla (western lowland gorilla), 2584 nucleotides long. RefSeq lists it as uncharacterized. NCBI's taxonomy places the organism in Eukaryota, Metazoa, Chordata, Mammalia, Primates, Hominidae. The transcript has 3 exons. The record is from RefSeq and is a predicted model, not a curated record.